AUUGAACGCUGGCGGCAUGCCUUACACAUGCAAGUCGAACGGCAGCAUGAUCUCGCUUGCUAGAUUGAUGGCGAGUGGCGAACGGGUGAGUAAUACAUCGGAACGUGCCCUGUAGUGGGGGAUAACUAGUCGAAAGAUUAGCUAAUACCGCAUACGACCUGAGGGUGAAAGUGGGGGACCGCAAGGCCUCAUGCUAUAGGAGCGGCCGAUGUCUGAUUAGCUAGUUGGUGAGGUAAAGGCUCACCAAGGCGACGAUCAGUAGCUGGUCUGAGAGGACGAUCAGCCACACUGGGACUGAGACAGGGCCCAGACUCCUACGGGAGGCAGCAGUGGGGAAUUUUGGACAAUGGGCGAAAGCCUGAUCCAGCAAUGCCGCGUGUGUGAAGAAGGCCUUCGGGUUGUAAAGCACUUUUGUCCGGAAAGAAAUGGCUCUGGUUAAUACCUGGGGUCGAUGACGGUACCGGAAGAAUAAGGACCGGCUAACUACGUG
RNAcentral lists this ribosomal RNA (490 nucleotides) under uncultured bacterium. RNAcentral describes it as "partial 16S ribosomal RNA". It matches the Rfam family "Bacterial small subunit ribosomal RNA", at positions 30 to 507 of the family's 1533-position model. The record is from RNAcentral.